This 514-nucleotide small RNA is filed under the name Pongo abelii (Sumatran orangutan). RNAcentral's name for it is "retained intron". Lineage: Eukaryota; Metazoa; Chordata; Mammalia; Primates; Hominidae. The record is from RNAcentral.
CAGCCGAUUUAUUUUGCAUAUUCCCAGCGAGGAAAGAGACAAUGCAAUCCGAGUGUGUUUUCAGAUUGAACUUGCCCAUUGGUUUUACUUGGAUUUCUACAUGCAGAACACACCAGGAUUACCUCAGUGUGGGAUAAGAGACUUUGCUAAAGCUGUCUUCAGUCAUUGUCCGUUUUUGCUGCCUGAAGGUGAAGAUGUGGAAAAAGUUUUGGAUGAAUGGAAGGAAUAUAAAAUGGGAGUACCAACAUAUGGUGCAAUUAUUCUUGAUGAGACACUUGAAAAUGUACUACUGGUUCAGGGGUACCUAGCAAAAUCAGGCUGGGGAUUUCCAAAAGGAAAAGUAAAUAAAGAAGAAGCUCCUCAUGAUUGUGCUGCUAGAGAGGUCUUUGAAGAAACUGGUUUUGACAUCAAAGACUAUAUUUGUAAGGAUGAUUACAUUGAACUUCGAAUCAAUGACCAGCUUGCUCGUUUGUACAUCAUUCCAGGAAUUCCAAAAGACACAAAAUUUAACCCA